RNAcentral lists this ribosomal RNA (332 nucleotides) under uncultured bacterium. Its description in RNAcentral is "bacterial SSU rRNA". It matches the Rfam family "Bacterial small subunit ribosomal RNA", at positions 568 to 898 of the family's 1533-position model. The record is from RNAcentral.
GGAGUAGGCGGCUCGAUAAGUCGGGUGUAAAAUCUCCUGGCUCAACUAGGAGGGAUCAUUCGAUACUGUCGGGCUUGAGUGCAGCAGAGGAAGAUGGAAUUCCCGGUGUAGUGGUGAAAUGCGUAGAUAUCGGGAGGAACACCAGUGGCGCAAGCGGUCUUCUAGGCUGUUACUGACGCUGAGCACCGAAAGCGUGGGGAGCAAACAGGAUUAGAUACCCUGGUAGUCCACGCAGUAAACGAUGGAUACUAGGUAUGGGGAGUAUCGACCCUCUCUGUGCCGAAGCUAACGCUUUAAGUAUCCCGCCUGGGGACUACGGUCGCAAGACUAAA